AGAACGAACGCUGGCGGCAGGCCUCAAACAUGCAAGUCUAGGGGGUGUAGCAAUACAUCACCGGCGGACGGGUGCGUAACGCGUGGGAAUGUACCUAUUGGUUCGGAACAACUGUGGGAAACUGCAGCUAAUACCGAAUGUGCCCGUAAGGGGAAAGAUUUAUCGCCAAUAGAUCAGCCCGCGUAGGAUUAGCUAGUUGGUGAGGUAAUGGCUCACCAAGGCUCCGAUCCUUAGCUGUUCUGAGAGGAAGAUCAGCCACACUGGGACUGAGACACGGCCCAGACUCCUACGGGAGGCAGCAGUUGGGAAUCUUGGACAAUGGGGGAAACCCUGGAUCCAGCCAUGCCGCGUGAGUGAUGAAGGCCUUCGGGUUGUAAAACUCUUUCGCGCACGACGAUAAUGACGGUAGUGCGAGAAGAAGCUCCGGCUAACUUCGCGCCAGCAGCCGC
RNAcentral lists this ribosomal RNA (449 nucleotides) under uncultured bacterium. RNAcentral describes it as "SSU rRNA". It matches the Rfam family "Bacterial small subunit ribosomal RNA", at positions 26 to 518 of the family's 1533-position model. The record is from RNAcentral.